AGCAGCCGCGGUAAUUCCAGCUCCAAUAGCGUAUAUUAAAGUUGUUGCAGUUAAAAAGCUCGUAGUUGAAUUUCGGAAUCAGUACGCCGGUCGUGCCUCCGGUAUGUACUGGUGUCACUGGUUCCUCCCUUCUGAAGAACCAUCAUGCUAUUAAUUUAGUGUGGUGGGAAAUCAGGACUGUUACUUUGAAAAAAUUAGAGUGUUUAAAGCAGGCUCACGCUUGAAUACAUUAGCAUGGAAUAAUGAAAUAGGACGUUGAUCCUAUUUUGUUGGUUUUUAGGAUUGACGUAAUGAUUAAUAGGGAUAGUUGGGGGCAUUAGUAUUCAAUUGUCAGAGGUGAAAUUCUUGGAUUUAUUGAAGACUAACUACUGCGAAAGCAUUUGCCAAGGAUGUUUUCAUUUAAUCUAAGAACGAAAGUUAGGGGAUCGAAGACGAUCAGAUACCGUCGUAGUCUUAACCAUAAACUAUGCCGACUAGGGAUCGGAUGAUGUUAAUUUUUAAUGACUCAUUCGGCGCCUUA
RNAcentral lists this ribosomal RNA (520 nucleotides) under uncultured Glomus. Its description in RNAcentral is "SSU rRNA". It matches the Rfam family "Eukaryotic small subunit ribosomal RNA", at positions 569 to 1090 of the family's 1831-position model. The record is from RNAcentral. Lineage: Eukaryota; Fungi; Glomeromycota; Glomeromycetes; Glomerales; Glomeraceae.